Molecule: ribosomal RNA, 405 nt
Filed under: uncultured bacterium
Lineage: Bacteria
Description: bacterial SSU rRNA
Rfam family: Bacterial small subunit ribosomal RNA
Source: RNAcentral
AUUGAACGCUGGCGGCGUGUCUAACACAUGCAAGUCGAGCGGUAACAGGUGUAGCAAUACAUGCUGACGAGCGGCGAACGGGUGAGUAAUGCUUCGGAAUCUACCCAAUGGUGGGGAAUAACCAGCCGAAAGGUUGGCUAAUACCGCAUACGUCCCACGGGAGAAAGCAGGGGAUCGCAAGACCUUGCGCCAAUGGAUGAGCCGAAGUCGGAUUAGCUAGUUGGAGGGUAACGGCCUACCAAGGCGACGAUCCGUAGCUGGUCUGAGAGGACGACCAGCCACACUGGGACUGAGACACGGCCCAGACUCCUACGGGAGGCAGCAGUGGGGAAUAUUGGACAAUGGGGGAAACCCUGAUCCAGCGACGCCGCGUGUGUGAAGAAGGCCUGCGGGGUUGUAAAGCAC